GUUUUCCUGUGGCCUAGUUGGUAGAGCAUUGAGCUAACCAUGCAAAGGUCUUGGGUUCACAUCCCAGGGAAAGCA
Molecule: transfer RNA, 75 nt
Filed under: Danionella cerebrum
Lineage: Eukaryota; Metazoa; Chordata; Actinopteri; Cypriniformes; Danionidae
Description: tRNA-Val
Source: RNAcentral